Molecule: long non-coding RNA, 1386 nt
Filed under: Oryctolagus cuniculus (rabbit)
Lineage: Eukaryota; Metazoa; Chordata; Mammalia; Lagomorpha; Leporidae
Description: lncRNA (ENSOCUG00000034420.1)
Source: RNAcentral
UCUUUUUCUUUGGCCUUUGCCCGCGAGGGCAGGGGCGUCCCCACCUUCCCCGGCGCCGGGCGCGGGGAGCGGGCCCUCUCCGGAGCGGCGCGGACCUCUUCCAUGUGGGUGGCCCGUCCCAGGGGCCUCGCUUCCCCCAGGGGCCUCGCCUCCUCUCUCCCCCAAGGGGUUCCCUCCUCCUCUCUCCCAGGAAGUACUUCUCCAGGGACCUCGCUCCGGGGGCUUCCUAGGGACCACGUGCGCCCACCCCAACUCCUCAGUUUGGGUGUCCUGCGCCCUCUCCUCCCUGCAGGCCCGAAGGCGUUGGUAAGGCGACAGCCGAGCUGUGGGAUGCGGUUUUCCCCUCUCCCGAUUUAUUGUUGUAAAAACAGACGCCGACCUGCCGAGGCAGACAGCAGCCGGGCGUCCCCUCUUUCUUGAAGAGGCCAGAAGUUAGGGCGCCCGAGCCCGGGCCUGGACCGCCUUCACCCCCAACCCCGAAUCUCCGCUUUUUGCGAUUUUAAUUUUGGCGGGAGGGGACGUGCAUUGAGAGGAAAGAGAGAGGCCGAGACAGUUUGUAACUAGAAACCAUUUUUCCCUUUUCAUUUUUUUUUAAACAAACAUAGAAAAAAAACAAAACAAAACAAAAAAGCUAAGAGGCGACGGAGGCCGAACGCAGAGUCCGGAUCGGAGAGAAAACGCAGUAAGAACUUUUAGAAGCAAUAAAUGGCAAAAAAAAAAAAAAAUACUACCAAUAAUAAAAAGACACAAAUAUCUAUGCAAGGAGGUUCUGACUGAGCCUAGCGGUCCGCCCGCCCGGGGUGCCCCUCCCGGCUGCCGACCGCCCCGCCCCAGCGCGGGUCUGUGCACUUUGGUGAAGUGGGGGCCCGCGCCGCCCCCUCCCCUCCCCAGGUUCUUACAAUCAGUGACUCGGAGAUUUGGGGCCCCAGUGCCACUGCCCUCCCCCGCCCCGUCCCCGUUGUGCGUCAUGCUGUUUUUUAAAAACCUGUUUCCAAAUUUGUAUGGAAUGGCAAACUGUUGGGGGGUCGGUUUGGGGAGGGAGGGUUUGCAUGAGAGACACACACGCACACACACACACACACCACACCGCACGCACACCGCACGCACUUCACCGCAGGCACGUGCAGGCCUGGCGCCGGCGUCCGGGGGGACUCAAGGAGGGCUAGGGCACCCAGGUGCUGGCCACAAACCCAGAGCAAAGGUGACACCUGGCCCUGGAGAAACCCUGCAACCCUGUCCUGGUUCCAAAUCCUGAAGCAGCUCCUGCCUUCCUGUCCCUCAUCUUCAACAAUUUUCAACAAAGUUUCUACUUGGGAGAGAAGGGGUAAGAACACCUGCACCCCCACCCUAUCCCCACCCCUUGGGAAACUUUCUCCAUCCUAAAGA